GACGAACGCUGGCGGCGUGCUUAACACAUGCAAGUCGAACGGAAAGGCCUCUUUCGGGGGGUACUCGAGUGGCGAACGGGUGAGUAACACGUGAGUAACCUGCCCUUGACUUUGGGAUAACUUCAGGAAACUGGGGCUAAUACCGGAUAGGAGCUCCUGCUGCAUGGUGGGGGUUGGAAAGUUUCGGCGGUUGGGGAUGGACUCGUGGCUUAUCAGCUUGUUGGUGGGGUAGUGGCUUACCAAGGCUUUGACGGGUAGCCGGCCUGAGAGGGUGACCGGCCACAUUGGGACUGAGAUACGGCCCAGACUCCUACGGGAGGCAGCAGUGGGGAAUAUUGCACAAUGGGUGGAAGCCUGAUGCAGCAACGCCGUGUGCGGGAUGACGGCCUUCGGGUUGUAAACCGCUUUCGCUCAUGACGAAGCUUUGUGUGACGGUAGUGGGUAAAGAAGCACCGGCUAACUACGUG
Molecule: ribosomal RNA, 467 nt
Filed under: uncultured bacterium
Lineage: Bacteria
Description: partial 16S ribosomal RNA
Rfam family: Bacterial small subunit ribosomal RNA
Source: RNAcentral